Molecule: unclassified non-coding RNA, 386 nt
Filed under: uncultured Tepidisphaerales bacterium
Lineage: Bacteria; Pseudomonadati; Planctomycetota; Phycisphaerae; Tepidisphaerales
Description: contains 16S-23S intergenic spacer region
Source: RNAcentral
UCCGGUUUGACACCGGCAGUCCCCUUAGAGUCCCCGACUUUACUCGAUGGUAACUAAGGGCAAAGGUUUCGCUCGUUAAGGGACUUAACCCGACAUCUCACGACACGAGCUGACGACAGCCAUGCAGCACCUGUACUUGUUGUACCCCUUGCGGGGCCUACCCCACUUUCAUGGGGAUAAUCCAAGCAUGUCAAGCCCAGGUAAGGUUCUGCGCGUUGCUUCGAAUUGAACCACAUGCUCCACCGCUUGUGUGAGCCCCCGUCAAUUCCUUUGAGUUUUAGCCUUGCGACCGUACUUCCCAGGCGGUCAACUUAGCACUUUUGCUUCGACCGUGAGACCGUCAGAGGCUCCACGAUCUAGUUGACAUCGUUUACGGCCAGGACUAC